This 510-nucleotide ribosomal RNA is filed under the name uncultured Glomus. RNAcentral's name for it is "SSU rRNA". It matches the Rfam family "Eukaryotic small subunit ribosomal RNA", at positions 569 to 1081 of the family's 1831-position model. The record is from RNAcentral. Lineage: Eukaryota; Fungi; Glomeromycota; Glomeromycetes; Glomerales; Glomeraceae.
AGCAGCCGCGGUAAUUCCAGCUCCAAUAGCGUAUAUUAAAGUUGUUGCAGUUAAAAGCUCGUAGUUGAAUUUCGGGGUCAGUAGGUUGGUCGUGCCACUGGUAUGCACUGGUCUCACUGAUUCCUCCUUCCUGAUGAACCGUAAUGCCAUUAAUUUGGUGUUGCAGGGAAUCUGGACUGUUACUUUGAAAAAAUUAGAGUGUUUAAAGCAGGCUAACGCUUGAAUACAUUAGCAUGGAAUAAUGAAAUAGGACGAUCGAUCCUAUUUUGUUGGUUUCUAGGAUUGACGUAAUGAUUAAUAGGGAUAGUUGGGGGCAUUAGUAUUCAAUUGUCAGAGGUGAAAUUCUUGGAUUUAUUGAAGACUAACUACUGCGAAAGCAUUUGCCAAGGAUGUUUUCAUUAAUCAAGAACGAAAGUUAGGGGAUCGAAGACGAUCAGAUACCGUCGUAGUCUUAACCAUAAACUAUGCCGACUAGGGAUCGGAUGAUGUUAAUUUUUUAAUGACUCAUUC